This 461-nucleotide ribosomal RNA is filed under the name Burkholderia sp. Its description in RNAcentral is "bacterial SSU rRNA". It matches the Rfam family "Bacterial small subunit ribosomal RNA", at positions 337 to 789 of the family's 1533-position model. Lineage: Bacteria; Pseudomonadati; Pseudomonadota; Betaproteobacteria; Burkholderiales; Burkholderiaceae. The record is from RNAcentral.
UCCUACGGGGGGGCAGCAGUGGGGAAUUUUGGACAAUGGGCGAAAGCCUGAUCCAGCAAUGCCGCGUGUGUGAAGAAGGCCUUCGGGUUGUAAAGCACUUUUGUCCGGAAAGAAAACUUCUGCCCUAAUACGGCGGGAGGAUGACGGUACCGGAAGAAUAAGCACCGGCUAACUACGUGCCAGCAGCCGCGGUAAUACGUAGGGUGCGAGCGUUAAUCGGAAUUACUGGGCGUAAAGCGUGCGCAGGCGGUUUGUUAAGACCGAUGUGAAAUCCCCGGGCUCAACCUGGGAACUGCAUUGGUGACUGGCAAGCUAGAGUAUGGCAGAGGGGGGUAGAAUUCCACGUGUAGCAGUGAAAUGCGUAGAGAUGUGGAGGAAUACCGAUGGCGAAGGCAGCCCCCUGGGCCAAUACUGACGCUCAUGCACGAAAGCGUGGGGAGCAAACAGGAUUAGAUACCCCC